AUUGAACGCUGGCGGCAUGCUUUACACAUGCCAGUCGAACGGCAGCGCGGGCUUCGGCCUGGCGGCGAGUGGCGAACGGGUGAGUAAUACAUCGGAACGUGCCCAGUAGUGGGGGAUAGCUCGGCGAAAGCCGGAUUAAUACCGCAUACGACCUGAGGGUGAAAGCGGGUGAUCUUCGGACCUCGCGCUAUUGGAGCGGCCGAUGGCAGAUUAGCUAGUUGGUGGGGUAAAGGCCUACCAAGGCGACGAUCUGUAGCUGGUCUGAGAGGACGACCAGCCACACUGGGACUGAGACACGGCCCAGACUCCUACGGGAGGCAGCAGUGGGGAAUUUUGGACAAUGGGCGAAAGCCUGAUCCAGCAAUGCCGCGUGUGUGAUGAAGGCCUUCGGGUUGUAAAGCACUUUUGGCGGGAACGAAAAGGACUGUGCCAAUACCACGGUUCGAUGACGGUACCCGCAGAAUAAGCACCGGCUAACUACGUG
Molecule: ribosomal RNA, 484 nt
Filed under: uncultured bacterium
Lineage: Bacteria
Description: partial 16S ribosomal RNA
Rfam family: Bacterial small subunit ribosomal RNA
Source: RNAcentral